GACGAACGCUGGCGGCGUGCUUAACACAUGCAAGUCGAACGGAAAGGCCCUGCUUUUGUGGGGUGCUCGAGUGGCGAACGGGUGAGUAACACGUGAGUAACCUGCCCUUGACUUUGGGAUAACUUCAGGAAACUGGGGCUAAUACCGGAUAAGAGCUCCUGUUGCAUGGUGGGGGUUGGAAAGUUUCGGCGGUUGGGGAUGGACUCGCGGCUUAUCAGCUUGUUGGUGGGGUAGUGGCUUACCAAGGCUUUGACGGGUAGCCGGCCUGAGAGGGUGACCGGCCACAUUGGGACUGAGAUACGGCCCAGACUCCUACGGGAGGCAGCAGUGGGGAAUAUUGCACAAUGGGCGGAAGCCUGAUGCAGCAACGCCGCGUGCGGGAUGACGGCCUUCGGGUUGUAAACCGCUUUCGCCUGUGACGAAGCGUGAGUGACGGUAAUGGGUGAAGAAGCACCGGCUAACUACGUG
This 468-nucleotide ribosomal RNA is filed under the name uncultured bacterium. RNAcentral's name for it is "partial 16S ribosomal RNA". It matches the Rfam family "Bacterial small subunit ribosomal RNA", at positions 28 to 507 of the family's 1533-position model. The record is from RNAcentral.